CUACGGGCGGCUGCAGUGAGGAAUAUUGCACAAUGGGGGGAACCCUGAUGCAGCAACGCCGCGUGGAGGAUGACGCAUUUCGGUGUGUAAACUCCUUUUAUAUGUCAAGAAAAUGACGGUAGCAUAUGAAUAAGCACCGGCUAACUCCGUGCCAGCAGCCGCGGUAAUACGGAGGGUGCAAGCGUUACUCGGAAUCACUGGGCGUAAAGGACGCGUAGGGGGGUGGAAAGUCAGGUGUGAAAUCCUACAGCUUAACUGUGGAACUGCACUUGAAACUUCUAAUCUAGAGUAUGGGAGGGGGAGAUGGAAUUAGUGGUGUAGGGGUAAAAUCCGUAGAUAUCACUAGGAAUACCUAAAGCGAAGGCGAUCUCCUGGAACAUUACUGACGCUAAGGCGUGAAAGCGUGGGGAGCAAACAGGAUUAGAUACCCCCGUAGUC
Molecule: ribosomal RNA, 438 nt
Filed under: uncultured bacterium
Lineage: Bacteria
Description: partial 16S ribosomal RNA
Rfam family: Bacterial small subunit ribosomal RNA
Source: RNAcentral